This 579-nucleotide ribosomal RNA is filed under the name uncultured bacterium. Its description in RNAcentral is "partial 16S ribosomal RNA". It matches the Rfam family "Bacterial small subunit ribosomal RNA", at positions 355 to 927 of the family's 1533-position model. The record is from RNAcentral.
UGGGGAAUUUUGGACAAUGGGGGAAACCCUGAUCCAGCCAUCCCGCGUGUGCGAUGAAGGCCUUCGGGUUGUAAAGCACUUUUGGCAGGAAAGAAACGUCGCGGGUUAAUACCCCGCGGAACUGACGGUACCUGCAGAAUAAGCACCGGCUAACUACGUGCCAGCAGCCGCGGUAAUACGUAGGGUGCAAGCGUUAAUCGGAAUUACUGGGCGUAAAGCGUGCGCAGGCGGUUCGGAAAGAAAGAUGUGAAAUCCCAGAGCUUAACUUUGGAACUGCAUUUUUAACUACCGGGCUAGAGUGUGUCAGAGGGAGGUGGAAUUCCGCGUGUAGCAGUGAAAUGCGUAGAUAUGCGGAGGAACACCGAUGGCGAAGGCAGCCUCCUGGGAUAACACUGACGCUCAUGCACGAAAGCGUGGGGAGCAAACAGGAUUAGAUACCCUGGUAGUCCACGCCCUAAACGAUGUCAACUAGCUGUUGGGGUCUUCGGACCUUGGUAGCGCAGCUAACGCGUGAAGUUGACCGCCUGGGGAGUACGGUCGCAAGAUUAAAACUCAAAUGAAUUGACGGGGGUCAUAGCU